UACGUAGGGGGCUAGCGUUGUCCGGAAUCAUUGGGCGUAAAGAGCGUGUAGGCGGUUCGGUAAGUCCGCUGUGAAAGUCCAGGGCUCAACCCUGGAAUGCCAGUGGAAACUGCCGAGCUAGAGUCCGGAAGAGGCGAGUGGAAUUCCUGGUGUAGCGGUGAAAUGCGCAGAUAUCGGGAAGAACACCCGUGGCGAAGGCGGCUCUCUGGGACGGUACUGACGCUGAGACGCGAAAGCGUGGGGAGCGAACAGG
This 253-nucleotide ribosomal RNA is filed under the name uncultured bacterium. RNAcentral describes it as "partial 16S ribosomal RNA". It matches the Rfam family "Bacterial small subunit ribosomal RNA", at positions 524 to 776 of the family's 1533-position model. The record is from RNAcentral.